This 323-nucleotide ribosomal RNA is filed under the name uncultured Neoheteromita. RNAcentral describes it as "SSU rRNA". It matches the Rfam family "Eukaryotic small subunit ribosomal RNA", at positions 633 to 955 of the family's 1831-position model. Lineage: Eukaryota; Cercozoa; Glissomonadida; Viridiraptoridae. The record is from RNAcentral.
GAUUUCUGGCGUUUCAUUUCAGGCCGGCCACGGUUUCGUGUGUUAGUGCUUGAGAUCUUCGCCAUCCUUCCAAUGGCUAUUCAUCCUUCUUCAUUGAGGUGGUGAGUGGUAUUGGAUCUUUUACUUUGAAAAAAUUAGAGUGUUUCAAGCAGGCUUUAUGCUAUGAAUACAUUAGCAUGGAAUAAUAAUUUAGGACUUCGGUUCUAUUUUGUUGGUUUCUAGGACUGAAGUAAUGAUUGAUAGGGAUAGUUGGGGGUGCUAGUAUUCAGCGGCCAGAGGUGAAAUUCUCGGAUUCGCUGAAGACUAACUUAUGCGAAAGCAUU